RNAcentral lists this non-coding RNA (796 nucleotides) under Clostridium tepidum. Its description in RNAcentral is "bacterial LSU rRNA". It matches the Rfam family "Bacterial large subunit ribosomal RNA", at positions 952 to 1753 of the family's 2925-position model. Lineage: Bacteria; Bacillati; Bacillota; Clostridia; Eubacteriales; Clostridiaceae. The record is from RNAcentral.
AACUCCGAAUGCCAUAUACUUGUAUCACGGCAGUCAGACUGCGAAUGAUAAGAUCCGUAGUCAAAAGGGAAACAGCCCAGACCAUCAGCUAAGGUCCCAAAGUGUAAGUUAAGUGGAAAAGGAUGUGGGAUUUCUAAGACAACUAGGAUGUUGGCUUAGAAGCAGCCACUCAUUUAAAGAGUGCGUAAUAGCUCACUAGUCAAGAGAUCCUGCGCCGAAGAUGUCCGGGGCCCAAACUUACCACCGAAGCUAUGGGUGUACACUAUGUGUACGCGGUAGGGGAGCUUUCUGUAUGGGUUGAAGUCGUACCGUAAGGAGUGGUGGACUGUACAGAAGUGAGAAUGCUGGAAUAAGUAGCGAGAAAUAAGUGAGAAUCUUAUUGGCCGAAAACCUAAGGUUUCCUGGGGAAGGCUCGUCCGCCCAGGGUUAGUCGGGACCUAAGCCGAGGCCGAAAGGCGUAGGUGAUGGACAAUCGGUUGAUAUUCCGAUACCACCUAUUUACGUUUGAGAGAUGGGGUGACGCAGUAGGAUAAGAUGUGCGAACUAUUGGAUGUGCGUCUAAGCAUUUAGGCAUGCUUGAUAGGCAAAUCCGUCAGGCUAAGCUGAGAUGUUAUGGGGAGCCAAAUGUGGCGAAGUAUCUGAUUCCACACUGCCAAGAAAAGCCUCUAUCGAGUAAAUAGGUGCCCGUACCGCAAACCGACACAGGUAGGUGAGGAGAGAAUCCUAAGGCCAUCGGAAGAAUUGCUGUUAAGGAACUCGGCAAAUUGACCCCGUAACUUCGGGAGAAGGGGUGCCU